Triticum aestivum (bread wheat) is the source of this 755-nucleotide non-coding RNA. Lineage: Eukaryota; Viridiplantae; Streptophyta; Magnoliopsida; Poales; Poaceae. The record is from Rfam.
UGUUUGGUUAGGUCUCCCCAUAGCUAAAGUUCUCUCGCCUUGCUUCAAAACUAUAGGGCGUGCGCUGCGGCUUUGACCUAACAGCCUCCGUUUGCUGGAAUUAAUCGGAAUAGGUGAGAACAAAGUGACGAACGGAUGCCUAAUGCGUGGGAAUCUGUUGAAUAGUUUGGGCCAAAUCCUGAAGAAAGUUCAAAGCGUUGUUUGAUGAGCCUGCGUAGCAUUAGUUAGUUGGUCAGGUAAAGGUUGGCCAAGCCAAUGAUGCUUAGCUGGUCUUUUUGAAUGAUUAGCCACACUAGGACUGAGACACAACCCAGACUCCCAUGGGGGGCAACAGAGGGGAAUCUUGGACAAUGGGCGAAAGCCCAAUCCAGCAAUCUCGCGUGAGUGAGAAGGUCAAUGCUCCUUGUAAAGUUCUUACGUCGAGUGCGCGAUCACGGCAGAACUAGAGGAAGAAGUCCCGGUAACUGCGUGCCAGCAGCCGCGCUAAGACAAGGGGUGGGGGGCAAGUACUCUUUGGAAUGACUGGACGUAAAGGGCGUGUAGGCGGUGAAUCGGGUUGAAAGUGAAACUGUGAAAGUCAUAAAAAGUGGUGGAAUGCUCUCGAAACCAAUUCACUCAAGUGAGACAGAGGAGAGUGGAUGGUCUUCUAUUCGUCCCUAUAAACAUUGUGAGGGACUAAAGUUUUUUCUGAAAGGAAAAGAGAUUAAAGUUGAAACAGACGCUCACUUCUAUGAACACGUGGACACACAACCGGU